UACAGAGGGUGCAAGCGUUGUUCGGAAUCAUUGGGCGUAAAGCGCACGUAGGCGGUUUACUAAGUUUGGUGUGAAAUCCCGGAGCUUAACUCCGGAAGUGCACUGAAUACUGGUAAACUAGAGGACGAGAGAGGAUGGUGGAAUUCCUGGUGUAGGGGUGAAAUCCGUAGAUAUCAGGAGGAACAUCAGUGGCGAAGGCGGCCAUCUGGCUCGUUUCUGACGCUCAGGUGCGAAAGCGUGGGGAGCAAACAGG
Molecule: ribosomal RNA, 253 nt
Filed under: uncultured bacterium
Lineage: Bacteria
Description: partial 16S ribosomal RNA
Rfam family: Bacterial small subunit ribosomal RNA
Source: RNAcentral